UACGAAGGGGGGCUAGCGUUGCUCGGAAUCACUGGGCGUAAAGCGCACGUAGGCGGCUUUUUAAGUCAGGGGUGAAAUCCUGGAGCUCAACUCCAGAACUGCCUUUGAUACUGAGAAGCUUGAGUCCGGGAGAGGUGAGUGGAACUGCGAGUGUAGAGGUGAAAUUCGUAGAUAUUCGCAAGAACACCAGUGGCGAAGGCGGCUCACUGGCCCGAUACUGACGCUGAGACGCGAAAGCGUGGGGAGCGAACAGG
Molecule: ribosomal RNA, 254 nt
Filed under: uncultured bacterium
Lineage: Bacteria
Description: partial 16S ribosomal RNA
Rfam family: Bacterial small subunit ribosomal RNA
Source: RNAcentral